This 712-nucleotide long non-coding RNA is filed under the name Anser cygnoides (Swan goose). RNAcentral's name for it is "lncRNA (ENSACDG00005007371.1)". Lineage: Eukaryota; Metazoa; Chordata; Aves; Anseriformes; Anatidae. The record is from RNAcentral.
CCGGGGGCGGGGAGAGGGGCGGGGCUUUCCGCCGAAAGGGGGCGGGGCGCGCGGAGGAGGCGGGGCGAGCGCAGGGGAGGCUGGCGAGCAGAGAGUGCCCUUGUGUCGCCAGCCGGCGAGCGGCUGGGAGCGAGCAGCCGCCCCGCGCCGCCAGCGGGACGGGACGGGACAGCACGGCACGGGACAGCACGGCGCGGGGCGGGACAGGCCGGGCCGCAGGGACAGCCGGACCGACCCGCCGGUAGGGGCGAGGGGAGCCAGCGGGGGCAGCCGGCACCGCUCGGUGGAGGGAAGCAGCCCGGCGGCGGCAGAGCCGGCGGGGAGAGCUGCUCCCCCCACUUCCCUCCCCAAUCCACCCCCGCGACCCCGGCCCUCCUCCUCCUCCUCCUCCUCACCCCACUGGAUACAGCGAGGGAGACACUGCGGCGGCGGAGGCGGCGGCGGCGGCUCCUGCGGGGGGAAGGAAGCGCCCGGAGAGCGGAGCGGCGGGAGGCUGCGGAUCUGCGUGCCUGGCGCCCACCCAGCCCGAGGGGAGCCCCCAGGAUGCGGCUCAAGCCCGGCGCGCUCCUGCGCUUCUACAGCCUCUGCGGGAUCCUCAUGCAAGUGUCCAAAGUGCUCUCAUUACCUGGAUUACAGAGUCAUAAAAUCAGUAAGAAAAUGCCAGGUUUCUCACUAUAAUCAGACUACAUCAAGAUGCCAGCUAGGGCACUGA